Pelobates cultripes (western spadefoot toad) is the source of this 132-nucleotide non-coding RNA. The record is from the annotation of a GenBank genome assembly. NCBI's taxonomy places the organism in Eukaryota, Metazoa, Chordata, Amphibia, Anura, Pelobatidae.
AUAACAAUACAGGACUCUUUAGAGGCCCUGUAAUUGGAAUGAGUACACUUUAAAUCCUUUAAUGAGGAUCUAUUGGAGGGCAAGUCUGGUGCGUGUGUGCUGCAGCUGAAACUGCUCGCACAGUCUCUCCAG